RNAcentral lists this ribosomal RNA (491 nucleotides) under uncultured bacterium. Its description in RNAcentral is "partial 16S ribosomal RNA". It matches the Rfam family "Bacterial small subunit ribosomal RNA", at positions 29 to 523 of the family's 1533-position model. The record is from RNAcentral.
AAUGAACGUUGGCGGCGUGGAUUAGGCAUGCAAGUCGAGCGUGAUAGGUUUGGUGCUUGCAUUAAACCUUGAAAGCGGCGAAAGGGACAGUAACGCGUAGAUACCUACCUCCAGGUCCGGGAUAGCGGCGGGAAACUGCCGGUAAUACCGGAUAAUGUCUUCGGACCAAAGGUUGAUUCCGCCUGGAGACUGAUCUGCGUCCUAUUAGCUAGUUGGUGGGGUAAUGGCCCACCAAGGCGAUGAUGGGUAGCGGGCGUGAGAGCGUGGCCCGCGUCACUGGGACUGAGACACUGCCCAGACACCUACGGGUGGCUGCGGUCGAGAAUCUUCGGCAAUGGGCGCAAGCCUGACCGAGCGACGCCGCGUGCGGGAUGAAGGCCUUCGGGUUGUAAACCGCUGUCGGAGAGGCGGAAAUCUCUAGGGGUUCUCCCCUAGAGUUGACCUAAUCUCGGAGGAAGUCCGGGCUAAGUUCGUGCCAGCAGCCGCAGUAA